This 465-nucleotide ribosomal RNA is filed under the name Vreelandella stevensii. RNAcentral's name for it is "partial 16S ribosomal RNA". It matches the Rfam family "Bacterial small subunit ribosomal RNA", at positions 338 to 795 of the family's 1533-position model. Lineage: Bacteria; Pseudomonadati; Pseudomonadota; Gammaproteobacteria; Oceanospirillales; Halomonadaceae. The record is from RNAcentral.
CCUACGGGAGGCUGCAGUGGGGAAUAUUGGACAAUGGGCGAAAGCCUGAUCCAGCCAUGCCGCGUGUGUGAAGAAGGCCUUCGGGUUGUAAGGCACUUUCAGUGGGGAAGAAAGCCUUGGGGCUAAUACCCUCGAGGAAGGACAUCACCCACAGAAGAAGCACCGGCUAACUCCGUGCCAGCAGCCGCGGUAAUACGGAGGGUGCGAGCGUUAAUCGGAAUUACUGGGCGUAAAGCGCGCGUAGGCGGUCUGAUAAGCCGGUUGUGAAAGCCCCGGGCUCAACCUGGGAACGGCAUCCGGAACUGCCAGGCUAGAGUGCAGGAGAGGAAGGUAGAAUUCCCGGUGUAGCGGUGAAAUGCGUAGAGAUCGGGAGGAAUACCAGUGGCGAAGGCGGCCUUCUGGACUGACACUGACGCUGAGGUGCGAAAGCGUGGGUAGCAAACAGGAUUAGAUACCCCUGUAGUC